RNAcentral lists this ribosomal RNA (253 nucleotides) under uncultured bacterium. Its description in RNAcentral is "partial 16S ribosomal RNA". It matches the Rfam family "Bacterial small subunit ribosomal RNA", at positions 524 to 776 of the family's 1533-position model. The record is from RNAcentral.
UACGGGGGGUGCAAGCGUUAAUCGGAAUGACUGGGCGUAAAGGGUGCGUAGGUGGUUUGGUAAGUUAUCUGUGAAAUCCCCGGGCUCAACCUGGGAAGGUCAGAUAAAACUGUUAAACUAGAGUAUGGGAGAGGGUAGUGGAAUUUCCGGUGUAGCGGUGAAAUGCGUAGAGAUCGGAAGGAACACCAGUGGCGAAGGCGGCUACCUGGCCUAAUACUGACACUGAGGCACGAAAGCGUGGGGAGCAAACAGG